RNAcentral lists this ribosomal RNA (1050 nucleotides) under Leuconostoc mesenteroides. RNAcentral describes it as "bacterial SSU rRNA". It matches the Rfam family "Bacterial small subunit ribosomal RNA", at positions 32 to 1064 of the family's 1533-position model. The record is from RNAcentral. Lineage: Bacteria; Bacillati; Bacillota; Bacilli; Lactobacillales; Lactobacillaceae.
AACGGGCGGCGUGCCUGGUGCGUGCUAGAAUGCAAGUCGAACGCACAGCGAAAGGUGCUUGCACCUUUCAGUGAGUGGCGAACGGGUGAGUAACACGUGGACAACCUGCCUCAAGGCUGGGGAUAACUUUGGAAACAGAUGCUAAUACCGAAUAAAACUUAGUGUCGCAUGACACAAAGUUAAAAGGCGCUUCGGCGUCACCUAGAGAUGGAUCCGCGGUGCAUUAGUUAGUUGGUGGGGUAAAGGCCUACCAAACAAUGGAUGCAUAGCCGAGUUGAGAGACUGAUCGGCCACAUUGGGACUGAGACACGGCCCAAACUCCUACGGGAGGCUGCAGUAGGGAAUCUUCCACAAUGGGCGAAAGCCUGAUGGAGCAACGCCCGUGUGUGAUGAAGGCUUUCGGGUCGUAAAGCACUGUUGUAUGGGAAGAACAGCUAGAAUAGGAAAUGAUUUUAGUUUGACGGUACCAUACCAGAAAGGGACGGCUAAAUACGUGCCAGCAGCCGCGUAAUACGUAUGUCCCGAGCGUUAUCCGGAUUUAUUGGGCGUAAAGCGAGCGCAGACGGUUUAUUAAGUCUGAUGUGAAAGCCCGGAGCUCAACUCUGGAAUUGCAUUGGAAACUGGUUAACUUGAGUCAGUAGAGGUAAGUGGAACUCCAUGUGUAGCGGUGGAAUGCGUAGAUAUAUGGAAGAACACCAGUGGCGAAGGCGGCUUACUGGACUGCAACUGACGUUGAGGCUCGAAAGUGUGGGUAGCAAACAGAUUAGAUACCCUGGUAGUCCACACCGUAAACGAUGAACACUAGGUGUUAGGAGGUUUCCGCCUCUUAGUGCCGAAGCUAACGCAUUAAGUGUUCCGCCUGGGGAGUACGACCGCAAGGUUGAAACUCAAGGAAUUGACGGGGACCCGCACAAGCGGUGGAGCAUGUGGUUUAAUUCGAAGCAACGCGAAGAACCUUACCAGGUCUUGACAUCCUUUGAAGCUUUUAGAGAUAGAAGUGUUCUCUUCGGAGACAAGUGACAGGUGGUGCAUGGUCGUCGUCAGCCUCCG